Molecule: ribosomal RNA, 240 nt
Filed under: uncultured bacterium
Lineage: Bacteria
Description: partial 16S ribosomal RNA
Rfam family: Bacterial small subunit ribosomal RNA
Source: RNAcentral
UGAGCAAUCUGCCCUUCUCAUCGGAAUAAGCGUUGGAAACGACGUCUAAUGCCGAAUACGACCUCCUUUCGCAUGAUCGGAGGUGGAAAGCUCCGGCGGAGAAGGAUGGGCUCGCGGCCUAUCAGCUUGUUGGUGAGGUAACGGCUCACCAAGGCGACGACGGGUAGCCGGCCUGAGAGGGUGACCCGGCCACACGUGGGACUGAGACACGGCCCAGACCUCCGUACGGGGAGGNAGACG